RNAcentral lists this ribosomal RNA (524 nucleotides) under uncultured bacterium. Its description in RNAcentral is "bacterial SSU rRNA". It matches the Rfam family "Bacterial small subunit ribosomal RNA", at positions 1 to 525 of the family's 1533-position model. The record is from RNAcentral.
UAGAGUUUGAUCCUGGCUCAGGAUGAACGCUAGCGGCAGGCUUAAUACAUGCAAGUCGUGGGGCAGCAUGACUAGCAAUACUUGAUGGCGACCGGCAAACGGGUGAGGAACACGUACACAACCUUCCUUCAAGCGGGGAAUAGCCCAGAGAAAUUUGGAUUAAUACCCCAUAAUAUAUUUGAUAAGGCAUCUUAUUAAUAUUAAAGCUUCGGCACUUGAUGAUGGGUGUGCGGCUGAUUAGAUAGUUGGCGGGGUAACGGCCCACCAAGUCUACGAUCAGUAGCUGAUGUGAGAGCAUGAUCAGCCACACGGGCACUGAGACACGGGCCCGACUCCUACGGGAGGCAGCAGUAAGGAAUAUUGGACUAUGGACGAAAGUCUGAUCCAGCCAUGCCGCGUGAAGGAUUAAGGUCCUCUGGAUUGUAAACUUCUUUUAUAUGGGACGAAAAAAGGGCAUUCUUGUUCACUUGACGGUACCAUAUGAAUAAGCACCGGCUAACUCCGUGCCAGCAGCCGCGGUAAUA